RNAcentral lists this ribosomal RNA (460 nucleotides) under uncultured bacterium. RNAcentral describes it as "partial 16S ribosomal RNA". It matches the Rfam family "Bacterial small subunit ribosomal RNA", at positions 338 to 795 of the family's 1533-position model. The record is from RNAcentral.
CCUACGGGUGGCAGCAGUGAGGAAUAUUGGUCAAUGGGCGAGAGCCGGAACCAGCCAAGUCGCGUGAAGGAUGACGGCCCUACGGGUUGUAAACUUCUUUUGGCAGGGAGCAAUUGGGUCCACGCGUGGGCUUAGCGAGAGUACCUGAAGAAAAAGCAUGGGCUAACUCCGUGCGAGCAGCGGCGGUAAUAGGGAGGAUGCGAGCGUUAUCCGGAUUUAUGGGGUUUAAAGGGUGCGUAGGCGGCAUAUCAAGUCAGCGGUAACAAUUCGGGGCUCAACCCCGUCGUGCCGUUGAAACUGAUGUUCUUGAGUGGGCGAGAAGUAUGCGGAAUGCGUGGUGUAGCGGUGAAAUGCAUAGAUAUCACGCAGAACUCCGAUUGCGAAGGCAGCAUACCGGCGCCCAACUGACGCUGAAGCACGAAAGCGUGGGUAUCGAACAGGAUUAGAUACCCGUGUAGUC